AGUAAGACGUUUUUAACCGAAAAAAACGACCAUGUAUAGUAAGGCGUUUUUAGCCGAAAAAAACGGCCAUGUAUAGUAAGGCGUUUUUGGAUGAAAUUUUUAGCUGAAAAAAACGACCAUGUAUAGUAAGGCGUUUUUAGCCGAAAAAAACGACCAUGUAUAGUAAGCCGUUUUUAGCCGAAAAAAAAGGACCAUGUAUAGUAAAACGUUUUUAGCCGAAAAAAACGACUAUGUACAGUAAGACGUUUUUAACCGAAAAAAACGACCAUGUAUAGUAAGGAGUUUUUAGCCGAAAAAAACGACCAUGUAUAGUAAGGCGUUUUUAGCCGAAAAAAAAGGACCAUGUAUAGUAAAACGUUUUUAGCCGAAAAAAACGACCAUGUAUAGUAAGGCGUUUUUAGCCGAAAAAAACGACCAUGUAUAGUAAGGCGUUUUUAGUCGAAAAAAACGACCAUGUAUAGUAAGGCGUUUUUAGCCGAAAAAAAGGACCAUGUAUAGUAAGGAGUUUUUAGCCGAAAAAAACGACCAUGUAUAGUAAGGCGUUUUUAGCCGAAAAAAAGGACCAUGUAUAGUAAGGCGUUUUUAGCCGAAAAAAAAGGACCAUGUAUAUAAGGCGUUUUUAGCCGAAAAAAAAGGACCAUGUAUAGUAAAACGUUUUUAGCCGAAAAAAACGACCAUGUACAGUAAGACGUUUUUAACCGAAAAAAACGACCAUGUAUAGUAAGGAGUUUUUAGCCGAAAAAAAGGACCAUGUAUAGUAAGGCGUUUUUAGCCGAAAAAAAGGACCAUGUAUAGUAAGGCGUUUUUAGCCGAAAAAAAAGACCAUGUAUAGUAAGCCAUUUUUAGCCGAAAAAAACGACCAUGUAUAGUAAGCCGUUUUUAGCCGAAAAAAACGACCAUGUAUAGUAAAACGUUUUUAGCCGAAAAAAACGACCAUGUACAGUAAGACGUUUUUAACCGAAAAAAACGACCAUGUAUAGUAAGGCGUUUUUAGCCGAAAAAAACGACCAUGUAUAGUAAGCCGUUUUUAGCCGAAAAAAAAGGACCAUGUAUAGUAAAACGUUUUUAGCCGAAAAAAACGACUAUGUACAGUAAGACGUUUUUAACCGAAAAAAACGACCAUGUAUAGUAAGGAGUUUUUAGCCGAAAAAAACGACCAUGUAUAGUAAGGCGUUUUUAGCCGAAAAAAAAGGACCAUGUAUAGUAAAACGUUUUUAGCCGAAAAAAACGACCAUGUACAGUAAGACGUUUUUAACCGAAAAAAACGACCAUGUAUAGUAAGGAGUUUUUAGCCGAAAAAAAGGACCAUGUAUAGUAAGGCGUUUUUAGCCGAAAAAAAGGACCAUGUAUAGUAAGGCGUUUUUAGCCGAAAAAAAAGACCAUGUAUAGUAAGCCAUUUUUAGCCGAAAAAAACGACCAUGUAUAGUAAGCCGUUUUUAGCCGAAAAAAACGACCAUGUAUAGUAAGCCGUUUUUAGCCGAAAAAAAAAGGACCAUGUAUAGUAAAACGUUUUUAGCCGAAAAAAACGACCAUGUACAGUAAGACGUUUUUAACCGAAAAAAACGACCAUGUAUAGUAAGGCGUUUUUAGCCGAAAAAAACGACCAUGUAUAGUAAGGCGUUUUUAGUCGAAAAAAAGGACCAUGUAUAGUAAGGCGUUUUUAGCCGAAAAAAAAGGACCAUGUAUAGUAAGGCGUUUUUAGCCAAAAAAAACGACCAUGUAUAGUAAGACAUUUUUAGCUGAAAAAAACGGCCAUGUAUAGUAAGGCGUUUUUAGCCGGAAAAAAAGGACCAUGUAUAGUAAGGCGUUUUUAGCCGAAAAAAACGACCAUGUAUAGUAAGGCGUUUUUAGCCGACAAAAACGACCAUGUAUAGUAAGGCGUUUUUAGCCGACAAAAACGACCAUGUAUAGUAAAACGUUUUUAGCCGAAAAAAACGACCAUGUACAGUAAGGCGUUUUUAGCCGAAAAAAACGACCAUGUAUAGUAAGGCGUUUUUAGCCGAAAAAAACGACCAUGUAUAGUAAGGCGUUUUUAGUCGAAAAAAAAGACCAUGUAUAGUAAUGCGUUUUUAGCCGAAAAAAACGACCAUGUAUAGUAAGCCGUUUUUAGCCGAAAAAAAAGGACCAUGUAUAGUAAAACGUUUUUAGCCGAAAAAAACGACUAUGUACAGUAAGACGUUUUUAACCGAAAAAAACGACCAUGUAUAGUAAGGAGUUUUUAGCCGAAAAAAACGACCAUGUAUAGUAAGGCGUUUUUAGCCGAAAAAAAAGGACCAUGUAUAGUAAAACGUUUUUAGCCGAAAAAAACGACCAUGUACAGUAAGACGUUUUUAACCGAAAAAAACGACCAUGUAUAGUAAGGAGUUUUUAGCCGAAAAAAAGGACCAUGUAUAGUAAGGCGUUUUUAGCCGAAAAAAAGGACCAUGUAUAGUAAGGCGUUUUUAGCCGAAAAAAAAGACCAUGUAUAGUAAGCCAUUUUUAGCCGAAAAAAACGACCAUGUAUAGUAAGCCGUUUUUAGCCGAAAAAAACGACCAUGUAUAGUAAGCCGUUUUUAGCCGAAAAAAAAAGGACCAUGUAUAGUAAAACGUUUUUAGCCGAAAAAAACGACCAUGUACAGUAAGACGUUUUUAACCGAAAAAAACGACCAUGUAUAGUAAGGCGUUUUUAGCCGAAAAAAACGACCAUGUAUAGUAAGGAGUUUUUAGCCGAAAAAAAGGACCAUGUAUAGUAAGGCGUUUUUAGCCGAAAAAAACGACCAUGUACAGUAAGGCGUUUUUAGCCGAAAAAAAAGGACCAUGUAUAGUAAGGCGUUUUUAGCCAAAAAAAACGACCAUGUAUAGUAAGACAUUUUUAGCUGAAAAAAACGGCCAUGUAUAGUAAGGCGUUUUUAGCCGGAAAAAAAGGACCAUGUAUAGUAAGGCGUUUUUAGCCGAAAAAAACGACCAUGUAUAGUAAGGCGUUUUUAGCCGACAAAAACGACCAUGUAUAGUAAGGCGUUUUUAGCCGACAAAAACGACCAUGUAUAGUAAAACGUUUUUAGCCGAAAAAAACGACCAUGUACAGUAAGGCGUUUUUAGCCGAAAAAAACGACCAUGUAUAGUAAGGCGUUUUUAGCCGAAAAAAACGACCAUGUAUAGUAAGGCGUUUUUAGUCGAAAAAAAAGACCAUGUAUAGUAAUGCGUUUUUAGCCGAAAAAAACGACCAUGUAUAGUAAGGCGUUUUUAGCAGAAAAAAACGACCAUGUACAGUAAGCCGUUUUUAGCCGAAAAAAAAACGACCAUGUAUAGUAAGGCGUUUUUAGCCGAAAAAAACGACCAUGUAUAGUAAGGCGUUUUUAGCCGAAAAAAAAGACCAUGUAUAGUAAGGCGUUUUUAGCCGAAAAAAACGACCAUGUAUAGUAAGGCGUUUUUAGCAGAAAAAAACGACCAUGUACAGUAAGGCGUUUUUAGCCGAAAAAAAACGACCAUGUAUAGUAAGGCGUUUUUAGCCGAAAAAAAAGACCAUGUAUAGUAAGGCGUUUUUAGUCGAAAAAAAAGACCA
Molecule: long non-coding RNA, 3541 nt
Organism: Hippocampus zosterae (dwarf seahorse)
Lineage: Eukaryota; Metazoa; Chordata; Actinopteri; Syngnathiformes; Syngnathidae
Exons: 2
Source: RefSeq, a predicted model, not a curated record